Long non-coding RNA from Triplophysa dalaica, 1472 nucleotides. RefSeq lists it as uncharacterized. NCBI's taxonomy places the organism in Eukaryota, Metazoa, Chordata, Actinopteri, Cypriniformes, Nemacheilidae. The transcript has 5 exons. The record is from RefSeq and is a predicted model, not a curated record.
UGGGUAAAGACUCUCAGAACCAUGGCGAUUCGGGAGACAACAAUCAAUCAUUACUUGAAGAACAUAGCACAGUUUAUGGACUAUGUGGCCGCAACACCCCCUCUGAGCUGCCGCCUCUCCAAGAGGGUCUUGUUGUCGAUCAGAAGGGAAGUGAGGAUGAUGCUGCAGUGCAUGAAUCGCCCCGCCACUUUGCACCAAAUGACGGUGAAGCGGGCCAAAGACGGGCAGCUCAUCUCCAAGGCCCUCUUGGAGAAGUGCAGGGAGGAGGCCAGACAGAAAAUUGCCCAAAUUAUCGAUGAGCUGGAAAAUACCAAGGCUCAGAAGACCCAGUUCAGAUUUUAUGGGUAUUUGACAGCGUUCCUGGCCUCGAUCUAUGGUCACCGCUGCGGGCUCUUCCAAAAUAUGACCAUAGAGGGUCAGGAACGCGACCAAGACAUCAAAUACUUACCUCAUCAAUGUCAACUUGCACAAGACCAACCAGGCCUUCGGAACGGCAGAAAUUGCGCUCUCCGCAGAGGAGUACAGCUGGUUCGAGCGGUUCCGGGCGAUGAGGAAGGAAUUGGUGGGCGGGGUCGAGGCCAAGCUAGUUUUUUUUUACAUCUAGUACAAAUCCGUGCAAAAAUCUGAACAGCCACUUCCAGGCAGCUUGGAAGGAGAUGGGGCUUCCAAAAUACCCCACAUUCACAGACCUCCGGUCGGCCAUCGCCACUCAUGCCAGGAACAAUGGCACCAUUGAGGACCGAUCAAAACUGUCCCGUUUCAUGUGUCACGACACAAGGACUGCGGACAAGUUCUACGCGUGUAACCUAAAUACCAAGGAGGCAUGGGAGCACAGGCAGCUCUUCGAGAAGGUGCUGGAGAGGGGCCUGACGUGCCGGACGAGCCCAUCGGCAAGGCCGGCAAGAGGUCUUGCAAGCGAAAGCGAAGUGACAAUGCGUCUCCGCUCACCUCACAGACCACAACUGAGGAUGAAGUGUAGCAGGUCUACCAGGAGUUGGGAGUGUCCUCGGUGGAUUCGGAAGAGAUAGAACUCAUCUGAUUGCGACCCAUCUAAGGCCCAGCCGUCCGUGGCCAGGCCCAUGAGCCAUUGUCCUGACGCCUCUGAAAAUUAGAUGGUCCCCGGCAGAGUCACCUUACAAGCUUUCCAAAGAAUACCCCUUCAGCGCCUGAUCCAGUGCCUGUCCUGCUCCAGUGAUCCUUUGCUCCGCACCUGACCCGCGUUUCCCCCGCCCCAGAGUUCCCCGACUACUCCACCCCUACCCAGCUCCAGCUGUUCCCUGUUCUGCCAUCCCCGUUGUUUGUUGUUUUUGUUCCUGACCUUCCCAGCUCCUGCCUCACCUCCCCAAUACCCCUUUAAGGGGUUUUCCUGUAAAUAGUUCCAUUUCAUGUUUUUACUUGUUUGUUAUUGUUCUGAUGUUCCAAUGUGUUUUUUAUUAUGUUCAAUAAAUGUUCCACCUUAUGUUUCAAAUGUC